RNAcentral lists this ribosomal RNA (1117 nucleotides) under Limosilactobacillus sp. Its description in RNAcentral is "bacterial SSU rRNA". It matches the Rfam family "Bacterial small subunit ribosomal RNA", at positions 401 to 1533 of the family's 1533-position model. The record is from RNAcentral. Lineage: Bacteria; Bacillati; Bacillota; Bacilli; Lactobacillales; Lactobacillaceae.
GAAUGAAGAAGGGUUCUCGUCUUGUAAAGCUUUGUUGUUAAAGAGAGAACCACGUAAGAGGAGUAACUGUUCAUACGUUGACGGUAUUUAACCAGAAAGUCACGCUAACUACGUGCCAGCAGCCGCGGUAAUACGUAGGUGGCAAGCGUUAUCCGGAUUUAUUGGGCGUAAAGAGAGUGCAGGCGGUUUUCUAAGUCUGAUGUGAAAGCCUUCGGCUUAACCGGAGAAGUGCAUCGGAAACUGGAUAACUUGAGUGCAGAAGAGGGUAGUGGAACUCCAUGUGUAGCGGUGGAAUGCGUAGAUAUAUGGAAGAACACCAGUGGCGAAGGCGGCUACCUGGUCUGCAACUGACGCUGAGACUCGAAAGCAUGGGUAGCGAACAGGAUUAGAUACCCUGGUAGUCCAUGCCGUAAACGAUGAGUGCUAGGUGUUGGAGGGUUUCCGCCCUUCAGUGCCGGAGCUAACGCAUUAAGCACUCCGCCUGGGGAGUACGACCGCAAGGUUGAAACUCAAAGGAAUUGACGGGGGCCCGCACAAGCGGUGGAGCAUGUGGUUUAAUUCGAAGCUACGCGAAGAACCUUACCAGGUCUUGACAUCUUGCGCCAACCCUAGAGAUAGGGCGUUUCCUUCGGGAACGCAAUGACAGGUGGUGCAUGGUCGUCGUCAGCUCGUGUCGUGAGAUGUUGGGUUAAGUCCCGCAACGAGCGCAACCCUUGUUACUAGUUGCCAGCAUUAAGUUGGGCACUCUAGUGAGACUGCCGGUGACAAACCGGAGGAAGGUGGGGACGACGUCAGAUCAUCAUGCCCCUUAUGACCUGGGCUACACACGUGCUACAAUGGACGGUACAACGAGUCGCGAACUCGCGAGGGCAAGCAAAUCUCUUAAAACCGUUCUCAGUUCGGACUGCGGGCUGCAACUCGCCUGCACGAAGUCGGAAUCGCUAGUAAUCGCGGAUCAGCAUGCCGCGGUGAAUACGUUCCCGGGCCUUGUACACACCGCCCGUCACACCAUGAGAGUUUGUAACACCCAAAGUCGGUGGGGUAACCUUUUAGGAGCCAGCCGCGUAAGGUGACAGAUAGUACCAGGGUGGGGCUCGUUGCGGGACUAACCCAACAU